AGUUUCCACUAUGAAAUUAAGGGAAGAAACAAUAAAUAAAUGAGAAAAUCUGGACCAGAAGCAUGACUGAGAAUCGGAGUCUCUGAGCCGGCAGGAUCCUCAGAAGCCACAGCCUCACCCAAAGCCCCCCAGGGACGGAGAGCCCCGCAGGCAUCCGGCCCCAGGCAGCCCGUGCCAUUUGGGGAUCAUUCCGAGUGUUAAGCUCUCUCUGACAUCAAGCUUACAUCGGCAAUCGUAUUUUUUGUCUUCUCAAUGAGGAAGGGAGGGACAGAACAUGGGACUGAAAAUGAAAAUGAAGAAAGGAUGGCACAGAACACGUUCCUGAAGCUGGAACCCAGCUUUGCAGACUCAGCAGCACACUCAACGCCCACUCUCCCUCACUGUCGGAUCCUCAAGACAGCUUUCCUCUGCUGCCUCAGCUUCUGACAGGGCUUCCCUUGACUCAGAAUAAGAGAACCAUAUACUCGCCAAGCUAAGAGAUCUCUGCAGAGCCUUAUACCUGAACAAGGAUGCCUUCAACUACGUCCCAACUAAUCCGGCUGCUUCCUAAGGCCCUCUAAUGGGAAGGAGUCACUACCCCCUGAGCCAGCCCAUACCACUGUAGGACAGCUCUAACCACUGGGGGUGUCACCCCCAUCAAGCCUAAAGCCAUCUCUUCCCGACCUCACAGAAUCUUUGGGUUGGACAGUAAGGCUCAAUGGCCUUCUGGAAUCCCUUCUCCAAGUCCCUCUCAAGUGGCCCUCCAGUCUCUGCUUGAAGACCUUCCUGCUCACUCCUAGUUUCUGCUGGAAAGGCAAUCCUUGCUACUGGGGAGACUGAGGCUGGUGGAUUGCUUUAACUCAGGAGUUCUGAGCUGUAAGGACACUAAAGUCAGCUGGGUGUCUUCACUGUCCCUCACCAACAUGGUGAGUCCCCAGGAGCAAGGGAUUACCAGACUGUUUAAGGAGGGGUCCCAGGUGGGAAAACUGGCCCAAAGAAAUGAGUUGUGAAGAUCGCACACUCAGGAAGACAAGAGGCAGGACACUUCUCCCGUCUCUCCCCAUGGGAGAUCGCUGGGCAGGGAACCGAAGGAUGGCAGAAUGCAGAACGUGAGGCGCCCUCGGGAUCAGCUUGUUUUUGCAAAGAAUGAAACACAGCAGAAUCAGAAUUCGAACCCAGGCCCUCUGGAUCCCAACGAGGGCUCUCUCCAUCACACCCCACUGCGCCUGGCCUCUUCCCCCACACAGGAAAGAGAAGAAGAAACAAAAGCCUCGGGCAGCUUUCUCACACCCCGAGAAUGCCGAGCAGCUCUCUUGGCUCUAGAGACGCUGGAAUAAAACUACAACAUCAUAGGCGACAAAGUCUUCCAUCUGGAUGUAAGGAUCACUCCCCCUCCAGAAUGCCCAUUCCACCCACCAUCAACGCUCAAAACACAGACUCAAGCCUCACGUUCCUCCAUCAGGACCGAGGAGAAGAAGGAACAAAUGGGUCGAUGCUACCUUAGAAUCCCAGCUUUGCCACUGGGCAACUGUAGGACAAGUAAUUUCCCCUCUCUGGACCAACAUAAAACGGGAGGUUGGAACAGAUGACCUCUGAGACAGCUUCUGGCUCUGACUUUCUCUGAAUCUGUUCUUUAAUUUCUCUUUCAAGUGAUAACCCCACUGGGCAGUCCACAAGCCCUGCCUCCCUCUUAGCAUUGCAGACCAUCUUAAACCUGGGGAAAAGGGAGGAAAGGGACAAAAGAGGGCGGGAGGCAGAUACAUAAUACCAGUAGGUGAGCUCUCCCCUCCAGAUUCCAAUCCCUCUCAGACAACCAGGAGAUCAGAUCUAGGAAGCUGCCUGAGUCAAUCGUCAAUCAACAUUAAUUAUGCGCUUACUGUAUUUCAGGCACUGUGCUUAGCACCAGAGAUACAAAUACAAAAGUGAGACAUUUCUCUCCCUCAAAGAGUUUACACUCUACUGGAGGACAUAAGGAUUAAGUGGCUAAGCUAGGGUCUGUUUUUAAAGAUCUUGAGAACACCCAUUUGGGGGGGGGGGUCUUGCUCUACCAAUGCAGGUUGGGACCCUCUAUGACCCAGUUGGUGAGUCAGGACCUGAACCCAGAUCCCCCUGAUUCCCAGGCCAACUCUCGAUAAAGUGCUUCUCAGCAGGCUAGGAUGAUAACAGCACACCUAAGUACUACGGUCAAAAUUUGGCAAAGCUCUUCUCUCAUGACAACCUUGAUACAGAAAACCAUAUAAUGGAGAGCCCAGCCCUUAGGAGCUCAUAUACGGUUAUCAGCCUGGUAGGAGCUCCCUUAUGAAUUUCAAAGCUUAGGUAUAUGUGACUGUUUCAUGUCCAGUUCUCAGUUGGUGAAAAAAAUAAGCCCCAUCGAUUGGCUGCUGAGACACAAUGACUCCCACUGUGGGGAACCUAAUCUCUUUCCCUGGUUGAGCUCCAGUGAGGAAGCAAUAACCAAUGUAAGCCUCUGAGGGGAGAGAGAGACACACACAGAAAGAAAGAGGGAAAGACAGACAGACAGAGACAGAAAGACAGACACAGAGCUAGAGAGGGCCAGCAGCCUACUUGCCCCACCUAGGUCAACAGGAAGCCAUGACUAAUUUGGAAAUUGUUUUGCUGAAGUAAAAAACAAUUGAUAAAUAUAUUUGGAAUGGUUAAAAAAAAAAAACAUUUGAAGUCAUGAAUGUGUUGCUCUGCUGUGGCUUCUGUCCCUGCCGUAUCGGUUCUAUCUUGCUCUUAGAUAAAGAGAUGUUGACAACAGCUGUGAUUUUGUGAACUUUAAAAAAGUUCCAAGUCCAUGAGAAAGUUUGCCAGCAGCUGAGCCUGAUGAAGGGCCAGCAAUCUGCUUGAUCAAGAGUAAGACACACUGUAAUGUAAAAAAUGAAAUGGUCAGUCACAUGAAAAAAAAUGCUCUAA
This is a long non-coding RNA of Vombatus ursinus (common wombat), 2895 nucleotides long. RefSeq lists it as uncharacterized. NCBI's taxonomy places the organism in Eukaryota, Metazoa, Chordata, Mammalia, Diprotodontia, Vombatidae. The transcript has 5 exons. The record is from RefSeq and is a predicted model, not a curated record.